GAGUUUGAUCGUGGCUCAGAGCGAACGUUAGCGGCGGGCCUAACACAUGCAAGUCGAACGAGAAUGUAGGCUUCGGUCUACUAGUAAAGUGGCGGACGGGUGCGUAACACGUGGGUAAUCUACCUUCCGGCGGGGACAACAGUCCGAAAGGAUUGCUAAUACCGCGUACGUCAGCGGCGCCUACGGGCGCUGUUGGGAAAGAUGGCCUCUCCUUGGAAGCUAUCACCGGAAGAUGAGCCCGCGUCCCAUCAGCUAGUUGGUGAGGUAAUGGCUCACCAAGGCUAAGACGGGUAGCUGGUCUGAGAGGAUGAUCAGCCACACUGGGACUGCGACACGGCCCAGACUCCUACGGGAGGCAGCAGUGGGGAAUAUUGGGCAAUGGGCGAAAGCCUGACCCAGCCACGCCGCGUGAGUGAUGAAGGCCUUC
This 427-nucleotide ribosomal RNA is filed under the name uncultured delta proteobacterium. RNAcentral's name for it is "bacterial SSU rRNA". It matches the Rfam family "Bacterial small subunit ribosomal RNA", at positions 9 to 419 of the family's 1533-position model. The record is from RNAcentral. Lineage: Bacteria; Deltaproteobacteria.